Long non-coding RNA from Brienomyrus brachyistius, 633 nucleotides. RefSeq lists it as uncharacterized. The record is from RefSeq and is a predicted model, not a curated record. NCBI's taxonomy places the organism in Eukaryota, Metazoa, Chordata, Actinopteri, Osteoglossiformes, Mormyridae. The transcript has 3 exons.
UUUUCAGCUAUGCGGAAAAACAACUACUUCUUGAAUAAUAUGUCUCCGUCCACACAUGUGUUUGCAAUGAGGAAUAUCAUCCAUCACCGGAAUACCGCAACAAAUUCAAAACUCUUACAACAGUUGUUACAUCGUGGUGAGAGACCCCAAGAUAUCUGCAACAUUUCACUGUCUAACCUUGGCCAAGCUGUCAUAGGUUCUGAAUCUUUGGCUAGUACUGACUCUGCCAGGACACUAAGCCCAAAAUCUACAAGUCUACGGUCUACACAAAUUAAAGAACAGAGACUUCUGGCUUUUAGUGACAUGGGUAUGCUUUUAAGAUACUUUGCAUUUAAGUGCUUUGACAUGACAAUUCUAACUGCUGUCAUACAACUCUAAUUUAGACUUUGACAUGUGUGGACCACGUUGUGAAGAGCAAACAAAACUGGAAAAUGUAUCAGCAUCCUCUGCAUCAUGGGAGAUGCAGUAUCACCUUGGCCAACAAUUGCUGCUUGAUUAUGUCUUGGACAUUGAAAGACCUCAACAAGAGUUGAUUGUUAGAACUGCAAGAGCGUGUCUGAGCCGGGCUGACUUUUUAACCUUGGGCCUAGACAGAGAAAUUGAAUCAACCGUAAGUAACUAUUUACUGUACUC